GCUAAGUGAAGGGCAUUCAGGAAGCAGCAUUGAUCUUUGUCUUUUAGGUCAAAGAAGUGUGAUAAAAUAAAUUCCUGUAGUUUAGACCUUCCAAAUUAGAAUACUCUCUUAUGGGAACCCAGAAAACUAAACCAAGAAGUGUCUCAACUAGGAUAAGCACAAAAAGAGAUUACGUCAGGUGACAAACGUGGGCUGACAUCAUUCUUCAUAAUGAGGCCAACGCAAAAAGAAGGCAUGUAGUUCUUCCCAGCGAAUGCGAAGAUUAGACCGUGUGCAGGAGAGAAGGUUGAGUUUAUCCAGUCUGUUUUCAUGCUGAGCACUGCGCACCCUGCUCCAGAGCCCUUGAGCACUCUACAGACGGCACUGCUGAACUGGAUCCGAUAAUAGAUGCUGGCCCAUGGGGUCAACUUGAGAAACCAGCAGCAGCUUAUGAAAUACGUGGAUUCCUCUAUGGCAGUGACUGUCUCGAUUACUUAGUUGCAGUAAUGGUAAGUAAUAUAAUUAUUCACUUAAAAAUAAAGAAAUGUUUUCCAGAGGAUUUUAUACACCAAUGUAUUCAAUUAUAGCUACUCACAUUGGUUACUUCAUUACUGCAGGCAAGAUGCCAGGAAGAAGCCAAUAGAUGUACAGCCAUGAAAGGGCCUGUGGUCUCUUCUGGUCAGUCAGGUCAUUUAAAAAUUUUCUAUGUAUUCAUCAGAAAUGUGUUCAUGUGUUCAAAUGACAUUGUCAUUACUUGAGACAAUCAACACAAGAAUUAUUCAGAUAUCUAUCAGCAAUAA
RNAcentral lists this long non-coding RNA (779 nucleotides) under Rattus norvegicus (Norway rat). RNAcentral's name for it is "long non-coding RNA NONRATT033079". Lineage: Eukaryota; Metazoa; Chordata; Mammalia; Rodentia; Muridae. The record is from RNAcentral.